CCUACGGGAGGCAGCAGUGAGGAAUAUUGGUCAAUGGACGAGAGUCUGAACCAGCCAAGUAGCGUGAAGGAUGACUGCCCUAUGGGUUGUAAACUUCUUUUAUAUGGGAAUAAAAUGUUCCACGUGUGGGAUUUUGUAUGUACCAUAUGAAUAAGGAUCGGCUAACUCCGUGCCAGCAGCCGCGGUAAUACGGAGGAUCCGAGCGUUAUCCGGAUUUAUUGGGUUUAAAGGGUGCGUAGGUGGAUUGUUAAGUCAGUUGUGAAAGGUUGCGGCUCAACCGUAAGAUUGCAGUUGAAACUGGCAGUCUUGAGUACAGUAGAGGUAGGCGGAAUGCGUGGUGUAGCGGUGAAAUGCUUAGAUAUCACGAAGAACUCCGAUUGCGAAGGCAGCUCACUGGACUGCAACUGACACUGAGGCACGAAAGUGUGGGUAUCAAACAGGAUUAGAUACCCCAGUAGUC
This 460-nucleotide ribosomal RNA is filed under the name uncultured bacterium. RNAcentral's name for it is "partial 16S ribosomal RNA". It matches the Rfam family "Bacterial small subunit ribosomal RNA", at positions 338 to 795 of the family's 1533-position model. The record is from RNAcentral.